Molecule: long non-coding RNA, 791 nt
Filed under: Pelobates cultripes (western spadefoot toad)
Lineage: Eukaryota; Metazoa; Chordata; Amphibia; Anura; Pelobatidae
Source: RNAcentral
CAGGGUAUGCCAGCGUGUCUCAGAGCAUUGAUAGCAUGUGCAAUGGCUGUUGAAACUGCUACUACUAUCACACUAGGGCAUCCUACAAUACUUCAUGCCAGUCACCAGGUCACUCAGCUGAUAACAAAUCUCACCACACAACACAUGAGAGCCCAGCGCUUCAGUGGUUAUGAGAUUCUUUUUUUUAAUACCCAGAAUCUGUCUUUUGGAUUAAACAAGGUUUAGAGAAAGAUCAAAAUGAUCUGUUCUCUAAAGAGGGGAGAAUAGGCAUACUUGAAGAAUAGGCAUACUUGAAGCAAGCUGAUUUAUUUUCAUCAGUCAGGCACAUAGCAAGCACCAUUCAAUUCUUCAUGAAUUCAUUUUAUAUUAGGAAUCUCAGGCAGCAUGUACAGUCUUUUGUAAGAUCGUGUGAACGCUGCUCUUUUUACACACUUACAGAUUGAUUUUAUUCAUGUAUCCAAAAUUAGUAAGAAACAGCAAUACUUACUGGUCAUAGUUAAUCAGUUUAGUGGAUGGCAUGAUGCCUUUGUGACAUCUAGGGAGGAUGCUAGUGAAGAUUAUUGUUACUGAAAUUAUUCCCCGGUAUUGCUGCCCUCUGCAGAUUGGCUCUGAUAAUGGCCCGGUUUUUGCAAGUAGGGUUGCCCAGGAACUUGCUAAAUUCUUGCAAGUUACCUGGCAGUUUCAUAUACCCUAUCAUCCACAGAAUACAGGGGUAGUUGAAAGGAUGAAUAGGACUAUUAAGGAAAAGCCCAGAAUUUACCCAGGAACAUGGGUAAAUUGGACAAGAUAUC